This 442-nucleotide ribosomal RNA is filed under the name uncultured Stenotrophomonas sp. RNAcentral's name for it is "bacterial SSU rRNA". It matches the Rfam family "Bacterial small subunit ribosomal RNA", at positions 343 to 777 of the family's 1533-position model. The record is from RNAcentral. Lineage: Bacteria; Pseudomonadati; Pseudomonadota; Gammaproteobacteria; Lysobacterales; Lysobacteraceae.
GGGAGGCAGCAGUAGGGAAUAUUGGACAAUGGGCGCAAGCCUGAUCCAGCCAUACCGCGUGGGUGAAGAAGGCCUUCGGGUUGUAAAGCCCUUUUGUUGGGAAAGAAAAGCAGUCGAUUAAUACUCGGUUGUUCUGACGGUACCCAAAGAAUAAGCACCGGCUAACUUCGUGCCAGCAGCCGCGGUAAUACGAAGGGUGCAAGCGUUACUCGGAAUUACUGGGCGUAAAGCGUGCGUAGGUGGUUGUUUAAGUCUGUUGUGAAAGCCCUGGGCUCAACCUGGGAAUUGCAGUGGAUACUGGGCGACUAGAGUGUGGUAGAGGGUAGUGGAAUUCCCGGUGUAGCAGUGAAAUGCGUAGAGAUCGGGAGGAACAUCCAUGGCGAAGGCAGCUACCUGGACCAACACUGACACUGAGGCACGAAAGCAUGGGGAGCGAACAGGA